This is an RNA transcript of Lontra canadensis (Northern American river otter), 1016 nucleotides long. It is a transcript of the gene named nudix hydrolase 16 like 1, with no coding region annotated. NCBI's taxonomy places the organism in Eukaryota, Metazoa, Chordata, Mammalia, Carnivora, Mustelidae. The transcript has 4 exons. The record is from RefSeq and is a predicted model, not a curated record.
AGUGUUGAGGGUCGUGGACGGGGGCGCGCGCAGACCCCUCUCUUUGCACACGCCCCUUCCGCGCCUCAACGACGCGUCGGAGCGCCGGGAAGGGCUCGGCCCCGAUGGGCGUCGGCAAUUGGUGGAGGGGCGGGUCCAGGGGCGGGGCUUCCUGCGGAUUGGUGGCGCCCGGCGGGGGCGGGCCCGCGCAUGCACUUAAGGAACGGCGCCGCGGCCGAGGCGGGGCAGUGUCAAGAUGUCGGCGGCGGUCCCGGAGCUGAAGCAGAUCAGCCGGGUGGAGGCUAUGCGCCUUGGGCCGGGCUGGAGCCACUCGUGCCACGCCAUGCUGUACGCCGCCAACCCCGGGCAGCUCUUCGGCCGCAUCCCUAUGCGCUUCUCGGUGCUGAUGCAGAUGCGCUUCGACGGGCUUCUGGGUUUUCCCGGGGGCUUCGUGGACCGGCGCUUUUGGUCUCUGGAGGACGGUCUGAACCGGGUGCUGGGCCUGGGCCUGGGCUGCCUGCGCCUCACGGAGGCCGACUACCUGAGCUCCCACCUGACCGAGGGCCCGCACCGCGUCGUGGCGCACCUGUACGCACGGCAGCUGACGCUGGAGCAGCUGCACGCCGUGGAAAUCAGCGCGGUGCAUUCGCGCGAUCACGGCCUGGAGGUGGGGCCGCCGCCCGGGCCCCGCCCCCCGCCCCGGGGUUUGGCUCUGGCCCCGUGGAAGGCACCGAUGGGUGCUGGGGCUUGUGCGAGUCCCACUUUACACCCAAAAGGACCGAGUCGGUGGCUUUCCCAACUUCCUGAGCAACGCCUUUACCAGCACCGCCAAGUACCAGCUGCUCUUUGCGCUCAAGGUGCUCAACAUGAUGCCGGAGGAGAAGCUGGCUGAGGCUUUGGCGGCUGCCACUGAGAAGCAAAAGAAAGCCUUGGAGAAGCUCCUCCCAUCUUCCUCCUGAGCACAGGCUGCAGGCAGCUCCAGGACAUGGUAUGGAAGCACUGGCCAGGUGUGCAGAAUGACAACCGCAGAGACACAA